GGUUUUGCUAGGGCUGAAUAGUGUAUGUGAGAGAGUGUGUAUGGGUGAGUUUAAAUUCCAGCUCAUAUUCAGGGUCAGAAAGAGAGUGGAAUGUAGGGUGUUGAGGAACACUUAGUUGCCCAGCUCAAUGAGUUAGCAGGUAGCACUAGGCUGAAGCAGCCAGCACAUCUGGGCUGACCCAGAACUGGCUCAGACCUAGUCAUUCUCUAGUUCUUUUUCUAAAAUCACUUUGGGGAUUUUUGUUUAAUUUUUUUUCUUUCCAGUAGCCUCUAAAUAUCAGCUAUGCAGAUAAGCACACUCUUCAUUUCCACAUUAUAUUCUUACUCAUUCUUCAAUAACAAAUGUUAGGAUUUCCACCCAAAGUAAUAAGAUUUAGGGUUUUUGUUGUGUGUGUGUGUUUCCUCUGGGGAAGAGUAGCAGAAGCCUAAAAUAGAUAAUCAUCUGUGUUCCUCUGCCCUAAAAUGGGAACUUUCCAUAAAACACUAGCUGAAGAUCCUUUUGCCGGUGCAGACCUAGAAUUGAUGUUGGGAACGCGUUUGAGCUUUUGUGAUAAAGUCACCUCAUUGUAAUGCCGAGACCCGCUUUGGGCUCUGAUUAAAAACAGCUUUGAAUAUUAAUGUUGAAUUUUUUCUUCAUUUCUUUCAGUCUUCAUUCAGUCUUUGGUGUGAGCUCUUAAGUUACCACUUGCUCCACUACAGUGUAAGUUGCCUGUUGUUAGAUCUAGGGAGAAAAGGUAAACUGUUUCUACAUUCUCUUCUCCCUCACUUUGCCAUCUGUCCUCAGUCCCAUCAACUGCAAAGAUAGUAUAGGGGGUAGUUUACCUCUUAGUGGAGAAUACCGGCAUAGAUUAUUAUCUUUAGAGUUUAGUGGAAAUACCUUUGACUGGCCUGAUGCUAAAUGACACAUUUCUUAUGCACACUCAAAGGACCAUUUGCUUUAAUGCAGCUGUUUCUGAUUUCCUUGUGUUGUGCUGUUUCUACUUGUCUGUCUUUCCUAUGUAUUUCCAUUUCAUAGCAGUUAGUAUUCAAACUUUGUAUACUUUGACACUGCUGCCCAAAUUAGUGACACGGUUUGAAGUCUUUAUGGUACAAAUUAAGGUUCUAUACAUAGUCUAGAACUUGGGGGGGGGGGUGUCACUGAUGACUGCAAAUUUUUUUCUCUCUUCAUUUAUAUUAAAAAAUAGAUUUUUAAAAAAAUAGGUUUCAUAGGCUGAGAGUGUAUCUCUUACCCAGCAUAUGCAUGGGCUGGGGGUCCACACACAGUAGUGCAGAGUAACAAUAAAUAGAUCUCACUUUUACAUAAUCUGCUAAUACCAGUAUCUUCCAAGAUUCUUCAGAAAAAAUACAGACUUUCAUUAGGGGCUCAUAACAGCUUGCCUUGCCUGUUUUCAUACCUUCCUACAACAGAGCUCUUUUGCCAAGGUCUGAGCCAACCAGAUCAUUGAAUCCUUAGUCCCAGUUUUUGGUACCUCAGAAACUAUUACUUGCCCCCACUUUGCUACAGUAUUCUGGUUUUUUUUUUUUUUUGUUUUGUUUUUUUCUGAGUCUGGUUGUUAGAUGCUUGUUAAUAGUAAUAGAGCUCUGGUUGGAAUAGAGUUAAGAUUAUUUACCUGAGAUAACACAGGAGUCAGCGGCCCCAUCUAUCCUCAAACUCCAUUUAGGAGUCAACAGCAACCAAGACUAGCCACUGUGUGUAUGUGUGUAUGUGAAAGUCUGUGCUUAAAAUUUCAUCACCAUAUUGUAUUUUCUGUACUUACAACCAUAGUCUUUCCUCUGUUUUGCUUGCCUCUACUGUUUACAGAAACAUUAUGCCCUAUCAGAAAAUUCACUGACAAAGUUACCAAGGAUUUGCCCAAUUUUGGGUAGUAACAUAAAAAGGAAAAUAUAUUUUUGUCAGUUGACAAAGGUAUUUGUUUUAAAUAGAAAGUUAACCCAGCCUUGGUCAGCUUUCUUGACAUUUUGGCUCUGACUCCAUAACAGAUUGUAUGUACUUUGACAUGUGGUCAUCAGGGGUCCUCUCCCAGUAAAGACUGGUUUUCCUCCCACACGGCUUUCAAGGAAGAGAGCCAAGCUUUUCAGUGACCUAUUGUCAGCUGUCUUUGAAAGACUAUCUUAUUCUAGAAAAUGCUGUCGUGCUAAACUGUUCUUGGAGAAGAGUGUGCUAGUUUGUUCCUCCCCAUGGUGUCUCUUGUCUUGUUAAAUGUGUCAGAUUUCAAGGACAGGAAGAGAAAUCUCUGGCUGGUAAAUUUCAUGUCCCAAAUAAUGAACUUAAGUCUAACCAAGGUGACUCAAGAGAUGGGAGUUUUCUCUCUCUACUUUGAGCAAGGUUUAUUUAUGAUUGUAAGACUUACCAUGGAACUGCAGACCUAUUUACUGUAACUGGAAAACAUGAGUCUGGUUAAGCACAGAUUUCUAACCCUAGGAUAAAAGUUUAGGUAAGGGGAGACUUUUGUUUAGUAGCAGAAGAAAAAACAAUUCUUUAUUCAGUGAGUGUCCACCCCGCAAAGCCACUUCCCAUAAGGGAACAGCUCCUCCUCUUCAGUGACCGUCACCCUACACAGAUGCUACCAAGUUUGCAAGCCAGUCUCCAAGAUAGGAGCCUGAGGACUCAGUUGAUGGUCCUUUAGGGGAAAGGCCCUAAUUACUGUGUUGCGUCUGCUUGUAGGAAGGUGUGUUUGCUAACUUGAAGGAAUAUAUGCUGUACUUCAAAUAAGUGUGUGACUUAAUACUUUGGGAUUUUUUUCCCUCUAAAACUGGACCUGAACACAGCUUUGAGUUGGUAUUUGUAAUAAUCUCAGGACCUGAAAGAUUGUAGCAUUUAGUGUGUCUUAAUAAUUAUGUACUGUACCAGCCAUGGAGUUUUGUAAAUAUACCUGUCUCCCUUUUUUGUAUUAUUUUAGUAAACAAUAAAUAAAUAAAUAAAUUUAAU
Molecule: long non-coding RNA, 2928 nt
Filed under: Rattus norvegicus (Norway rat)
Lineage: Eukaryota; Metazoa; Chordata; Mammalia; Rodentia; Muridae
Description: long non-coding RNA NONRATT020370
Source: RNAcentral